UUCCGGUUGAUCCUGCCGGACCCCACUGCUAUCGGGAUGAGACUAAGACAUGCUAGUCGAGCGCUUUCAGGCUAUGUUGAGAGCGCGGCGCACAGCUCAGUAACACGUGGCUAACCUGCCCUUGGGAUAGGUAUACCCCCGGGAAACUGGGGCUAAUCCCCAAUAGGUGAAGGCUCCUGGAAUGGAUCUUCACCCGAAAAGGACCUAGAUCAUGCUUCUAGGCGACGCCCAAGGAUGGGGCCGCGUCCGAUCAGGUUGUUGGUGAGGUAAUGGCCCACCAAGCCUUUUACCGGUGCGGGCCGUGAGAGCGGGAGCCCGGAGAUGGGCACUGAGACAAGGGCCCAGGCCCUACGGGGCGCAGCAGUCGCGAAACCUUUGCAAUACACGAAAGUGUGACAGGGCCAUCCCGAGUGCCGACCGCUGAGGUUGGCUUUUAUCCAGUCUAGACAGCUGGAAGAAUAAGGAGAGGGCAAGUCUGGUGUCAGCCGCCGCGGUAAUACCAGCUCUCCGAGUGGUGUGGACGUUUAUUGGGCCUAAAGCAUCCGUAGCUGGCUGGACAAGUCCCCUGUUAAACCCACCGAUUUAAUCGUUGGCUUGCGGGGGAAACUGUUCGGCUAGGGGACGGUAGAGGCAGACGGUAUUCCCGGGGUAGGAGUGAAAUCCUAUAAUCCCGAGAAGACCACCAGUGGCGAAGGCUGUCUGCUAGAACGCGCCCGACGGUGAGGGAUGAAAGCUGGGGGAGCGAACCGGAUUAGAUACCCGGGUAGUCCCAGCUGUAAACGAUGCAGGCUAGGUGUUUGGACGGCCACGUGCCGUUCUAGUGCCGCAGGGAAGCUGUUAAGCCUGCCGCCUGGGGAGUACGAUCGCAAGAUUGAAACUUAAAGGAAUUGGCGGGGGAGCACCACAAGGGGUGAAGCUUGCGGUUUAAUUGGAUUCAACGCCGGG
RNAcentral lists this ribosomal RNA (945 nucleotides) under uncultured archaeon. Its description in RNAcentral is "bacterial SSU rRNA". It matches the Rfam family "Archaeal small subunit ribosomal RNA", at positions 1 to 922 of the family's 1478-position model. The record is from RNAcentral.